UACGUAGGUGGCGAGCGUUGUCCGGAUUUACUGGGCGUAAAGCGCGCGCAGGCGGCCUUUUAAGUCUGACGGUGAAAUGCCGGGGCUCAACCCCGUGCCCGCCGGAGAUACUGGGAGGCUGGAGACGAGUAGAGGCAAGCGGAAUUCCGGGUGUAGCGGUGGAAUGCGUAGAGAUCCGGAAGAACACCGGAGGCGAAGGCGGCUUGCUGGGCUCAUGUCUGACGCUGAGGCGCGAAAGCGUGGGGAGCGAACAGG
RNAcentral lists this ribosomal RNA (255 nucleotides) under uncultured bacterium. Its description in RNAcentral is "partial 16S ribosomal RNA". It matches the Rfam family "Bacterial small subunit ribosomal RNA", at positions 524 to 776 of the family's 1533-position model. The record is from RNAcentral.